UAAUUACAAGCCAUUGCAUUUACUAUUAAUGACUCAUCUUAAAGCUCUCAAACGUUAGCCCAAAUAAACCAAACCCAAAAAAAAAACAAAAGCCCAAACAAUAUUAGCCCAACUGCAGCGCAAAACAACCACAAACUCUUCUUCUUCUACGUAACCCAACAUCGGCAUUGACGAACGCCGAUCUCCAACCGCUUCGUCUUCCCGGUGUCUGAAAUUAAGCACCAUCAUUCCCACUAAAUCUCCUUAAUUGGCCACUCCCCCUUGAUUUAAAUGUACACUUAUUGACAUCUUCUCUUCCCAAACCCUAUAAAAUCUUCCUCUCCGUAAUGUAACCAUCACCGCCAAAUCCUCUUUGGGAACAAAUUCUCAGGGGCUUUCUCCUAAAUUCCCACUUGCGAACGUUCUUUCUCUCCGCAAAAGUCUCAUCCAAAACAGAAAUAUGAAUAGACGACCUUACGCAUCUCUCUCAAAUCCGGAUGAGUUCAAAUUCUCUGAUCGAUAAUUUAAGGAUCGAAUCAUUGGAGUGGGUUUAUGGAGAACUCAAAAUUGGGUUCAGUUGGUGUUUCUUGUAGAAUUUCUUCUUCGAAGGAGUGCAGGAACACUUUUGUACCUCCUAGAUUUAAAGAUAUAUCAGCGAUGACGAGGAGGAGCGGUGACGUUACCCAAGAAAAACAUCAAGAAAGUCGUUGAUCGAGCUGGUGGCUGGUUGGUUCCGUGAGAUGAUGGUUGUACGGCACACUCAUAAAGCCUUGGCAGUGUAACAGUCUACUCCUCCACAACCACACGUUUAAGAACAAAGGAGAAGAUCUUUCAAAAAUUAACGGCAAGAGGAAAAGAGAUCUCAAAUCUGUUGAGGACGAUUGAAAAGAAAAGCUUUUUGGUCCUACCAUGUACACAUCAUUUUUGCAAGACAAAAGAAACAAUUUAAUGAAUCCUCAUGGCAUUAAGCAUUUUUAACAUUCUAUAUAUGUCCACCAAAAAUUAACUUUUAUUUCUCCAGUAUAGUAAAAAUGAAGACAUUUCAUUUCAUAUUUAA
This is a long non-coding RNA of Arabidopsis lyrata subsp. lyrata, 1036 nucleotides long. RefSeq lists it as uncharacterized. The transcript has 3 exons. Lineage: Eukaryota; Viridiplantae; Streptophyta; Magnoliopsida; Brassicales; Brassicaceae. The record is from RefSeq and is a predicted model, not a curated record.